CGGCGUGCUUAACACAUGCAAGUCGAACGGAGUUAGAGAGCUUGCUCUUAAACUAGUGGCGGACGGGUGAGUAACGCGUGGGUAACCUGCCUUUCACUGGGGGAUAACAGUUAGAAAUGACUGCUAAUACCGCAUAAGCGCACGGGAUCGCAUGAUCUAGUGUGAAAAAACUCCGGUGGUGAAAGAUGGACCCGCGUCUGAUUAGCUAGUUGGUGAGGUAACGGCCCACCAAGGCGACGAUCAGUAGCCGGCCUGAGAGGGUGAACGGCCACAUUGGGACUGAGACACGGCCCAAACUCCUACGGGAGGCAGCAGUGGGGAAUAUUGCACAAUGGGGGGAACCCUGAUGCAAGCGACGCCGCGUGAGUGAAGAAGUAUUUCGGUAUGUAAAGCUCUAUCAGCAGGGAAGAAAAUGACGGUACCUGACUAAGAAGCCCCGGCUAACUACGUGCCAGCCGCAGC
RNAcentral lists this ribosomal RNA (462 nucleotides) under uncultured bacterium. Its description in RNAcentral is "bacterial SSU rRNA". It matches the Rfam family "Bacterial small subunit ribosomal RNA", at positions 40 to 518 of the family's 1533-position model. The record is from RNAcentral.